GGCUGUGUAGUGUAGUGGUUAUCACCCGAGAUUCUGACUUGUUUGGAAUUUCUCGUGACCCAGGUUCGAUCCCUGGCACGGCCU
RNAcentral lists this transfer RNA (84 nucleotides) under Artomyces pyxidatus. RNAcentral describes it as "tRNA-Gln". It matches the Rfam family "tRNA". Rfam says of the family: Transfer RNA (tRNA) molecules are approximately 80 nucleotides in length. Their secondary structure includes four short double-helical elements and three loops (D, anti-codon, and T loops). The record is from RNAcentral. Lineage: Eukaryota; Fungi; Basidiomycota; Agaricomycetes; Russulales; Auriscalpiaceae.